UCCACUAACCAUGAAAGAGAGACAGAAGAGACCAGUAGAGCCCCUGGAGUGUGACACAUCUGGAGUCCCCAUAUGACAGCUAACAUGUUCAGGGCGCAGAACUUACUCAGCAUCAAAGUUAUCUUUCCUUAAAGAUUAUUACUUAGAAGUUGGGAAGAGAGAAAACUGCCUUACUGCUUAGCAAAUCCAAUGUACCUAAGCAUGUCUGCUCUAGAAAACAGAAACCUUGAGGAACCCACAGCUGAACAGAAAACUCUGCCUUUAAAGACUUCAACGAACUUUUAGGAUGCCAGAACUCUGACGUGCUGCCUGCCUUCUGCAGCAGGUCCAAAUAUCCACAUCUUCACAUAUAGAAUUUAAGCCUCCUUGUUUUUCUCACAGGAUUAACAAUCCAUAUUAGCAUUCAUGAGAAACCACUGGGAUUACUUAUGUCCCUAUCUAAUACGUGUUUUCUCCAGAAACCCUGCUCCUCACCACUGGACCACAUGUGCUCCUUGCCCAGCCACACCUGCCAUUACUCCUAUUUCCAAGCAAACCUCCUGGAAAGCAGCCAUUGCUGUGACAACUCCAGAGCAUCUCACUACACAGUGAAAUUAAUUCCAACAUUCAUGACUUCAAAAGAAGCAGCGCUUAGUUUGCAACUUUAAGACAGAUGAAGAAGUAAAGGCAAAACAGAUAGAAGUGACAUCCAACAGAAAUGUUCAAGUUUUUGCUAGUAUUACUCCUAAGGGAUAAUUUUUGACCCCAAGUUUAUGUAUUUUUGACGAGGCUGCCUUAAAUCUCUUUUAUUCUGUAUAUGUUAGGAGCAAAAUUUAUUUGUAUGUAUUAAGGAGUGUUUUUCUCUGUUUAUGUAGGCAUGAAAUUUAGUACUACUGUGUCUGAGUAAAGACCUUUACCGUUGACCUCUAGAUGAGGGUGCCACCAGUAUAAAGCAAUUAACAAAG
Molecule: long non-coding RNA, 944 nt
Organism: Cygnus atratus (black swan)
Lineage: Eukaryota; Metazoa; Chordata; Aves; Anseriformes; Anatidae
Exons: 2
Source: RefSeq, a predicted model, not a curated record